This 897-nucleotide ribosomal RNA is filed under the name uncultured bacterium. RNAcentral's name for it is "bacterial SSU rRNA". It matches the Rfam family "Bacterial small subunit ribosomal RNA", at positions 74 to 967 of the family's 1533-position model. The record is from RNAcentral.
GGGUGCUUGCAUCUGGUGGCGAGUGGCGGACGGGUGAGUAAUACAUCGGAACGUGUCCUAAAGUGGGGGAUAACGCAUCGAAAGAUGUGCUAAUUCCGCAUAAUCUCUGAGGAGAAAAGUAGGGGAUCGAAGGACCUUAUGCUUUUGGAGCGGCCGAUGUCUGAUUAGCUAGUUGGUAGGGUAAUGGCUUACCAAGGCGACGAUCAGUAGUUGGUCUGAGAGGACGGCCAGCCACACUGGGACUGAGACACGGCCCAGACUCCUACGGGAGGCAGCAGUGGGGAAUUUUGGACAAUGGGCGCAAGCCUGAUCCAGCAAUGCCGCGUGAGUGAAGAAGGCCUUCGGGUUGUAAAGCUCUUUCAGUUGAAAAGAAAAGGUUGUGACUAAUAAUCAUAAUUCAUGACGGUAUCAACAGAAGGAGCACCGGCUAACUACGUGCCAGCAGCCGCGGUAAUACGUAGGGUGCAAGCGUUAAUCGGAAUUACUGGGCGUAAAGGGUGCGCAGGCGGUUCUGUAAGUCAGAUGUGAAAUCCCCGGGCUUAACCUGGGAACUGCGUUUGAAACUGCAGAGCUAGAGUGUAGCAGGGGGAGGUGGAAUUCCAUGUGUAGCAGUGAAAUGCGUAGAGAUAUGGAAGAACAUCGAUGGCGAAGGCAACCUCCUGGGCUGACACUGACGCUCAUGCACGAAAGCGUGGGGAGCAAACAGGAUUAGAUACCCUGGUAGUCCACGCCCUAAACUAUGUCAACUAGUUGUCGGGUCUUAUUAGACUUGGUAACGUAGCUAACGCGUGAAGUUGACCGCCUGGGGAGUACGGUCGCAAGAUUAAAACUCAAAGGAAUUGACGGGGACCCGCACAAGCGGUGGAUUAUGUGGAUUAAUUCGAUGCAACGCGAAAA